CAGUCAAUGUGAUCCUUGUCCAGUCAAUGUGAUCCAGUCAAUGUGAUCCUUGUCCAGUCAAUGUGAUCCUUGUCCAGUCAAUGUGAUCCUUGUCCAUGCAGUCAAUGUGAUCCUUGUCCAUGCAGUCAAUGUGAUCCUUGUCCAGUCAAUGUUAUACUUGUCCAGUCAAUGAGAUCCUUGUCCAGUCAAUGUGAUCCUUGUCCAGUCAAGUUAUUAUAGAUCUGGGAAAGUGCAAUACAUGUUCUGGUGUUUGAUGGAAAGAGUCACAUCCUGCUUGUAGAAUACAUUUGUACCUCAUUCAGGCUAUAAUGGAAAGUUGGAAUGAGAAACUAACUACAGCUGCUAGGGAUGGAGAUAUAGAAGCCUUAAAAUUAAGCCUACAGAAUGGUGCAGACAUUGAUUAUCGAGAUGUAAGU
This is a long non-coding RNA of Mytilus trossulus (common blue mussel), 416 nucleotides long. RefSeq lists it as uncharacterized. Lineage: Eukaryota; Metazoa; Mollusca; Bivalvia; Mytilida; Mytilidae. The record is from RefSeq and is a predicted model, not a curated record. The transcript is spliced from 4 exons.